This 398-nucleotide ribosomal RNA is filed under the name uncultured Ignavibacteriaceae bacterium. RNAcentral's name for it is "bacterial SSU rRNA". It matches the Rfam family "Bacterial small subunit ribosomal RNA", at positions 114 to 507 of the family's 1533-position model. Lineage: Bacteria; Pseudomonadati; Ignavibacteriota; Ignavibacteria; Ignavibacteriales; Ignavibacteriaceae. The record is from RNAcentral. RNAcentral also lists the same sequence under 1 other name.
CACGUAAGCAAUCUACCUUUGGGUCUGGAAUAACUUCGAGAAAUCGAGGCUAAUACCGGAUAAUGCAGCGGCACCGCAUGGUGAUGUUGUUAAAGUUUAAGUAAUGCCUAAAGAUGAGCUUGCGUCUGAUUAGCUAGUUGGUAGGGUAAAAGCCUACCAAGGCAACGAUCAGUAGCUGGUCUGAGAGGAUGAUCAGCCACACUGGAACUGAGACACGGUCCAGACUCCUACGGGAGGCAGCAGUGAGGAAUAUUGGGCAAUGCCCGUAAGGGUGACCCAGCAACGCCGCGUGGAGGAUGAAGGCCGUAAGGUUGUAAACUCCUGUUAGAGGAGAAGAAUAGUACCGGUUGGACCGGUAUAUGACUGUACCCUCAGAGAAAGCCCCGGCUAACUACGUG